Molecule: long non-coding RNA, 1312 nt
Organism: Loxodonta africana (African savanna elephant)
Lineage: Eukaryota; Metazoa; Chordata; Mammalia; Proboscidea; Elephantidae
Exons: 4
Source: RefSeq, a predicted model, not a curated record
GCUCCUUGUCAUUCAGGUCUCAGUUAAAAUGUCAACUCUGGCUUUCUCUGAUCUUUCUGUCCCUCUACUGCGAGCUUCCUCAGUACAGGGACCUGACCUAUCUAGUUCAUGGCUUUGAACAGUGCCUCCGCACAUAGUAGGUACAUAAUAAAUCUUAGCCAACUAGAGUGAGGCAGAUUGUCCUGCUUGCCUUGUAGAAGCCAGCUUCUAUGAUGGGGCCCUUAGGACCAGAGGCCUCAAUCCCAUAGGUGCAAGGAAUUGAAUUAUGCCAACAACCUGAAUGAGCUAGUAAACACAUCUUUCCCAGGUAAAACAUGAUGAGGCCACAGACCCAGCCAACAUUUGGAUUGCAGCCUGGUGAGACAGACCCUGAAGCAGAGCACCCAGGUAAGCCGUGCCUGGACUUCUGACCUACAGAAACAGAGAUAGUCGAUGUGUAUAUCACCAUUUAUGCUGUUGAAGAAAGGACCAACGACUUAUUCCGCGGAAAUACCUUUUUUUCAAGACAGGCCAAGAUCACGUAAAUGGUGACUAUACACAUGGACCUCGCCGAAUGGAAUACACAGGCAUCAGAUCGACUACAUCUGUGGGAAGAGAUGAUGGAGAAGCUCGAUAUUAUCAUUUAGAACAAGGCCAGCAGCCAACUGCAGAAUAGAUCAUCAAUUGCUCAUAUGCAAGUUCAAGUUGAAGCAGAAGAAAAUUAAAACAAAUCCACAAGAGCCAAAGUAUGACCUUGAGUAUAUCUCACCUGAAUUUUAGAGGCCAUCUCAAGAAAGAUUUGACAUAUUGAACACUAAUGACCAAAGACCAGAUGAGUUGUGGGAUGACAUCAAGGACAUCAUACAUGAAGAAAGGAAAGGGUUGUUAAAAAGACAGAAAAGAAAAAAGAGAUCAAAAUGGAUGUAAGAAAAGACUUUGAAUCUUGCACUUGAACAUAGAUUAGCUAAAGCAAAAAAGAAGAAAUGAUGAAGUAAAAGGGCUGAACAGAACAUUUCAAAGGGUUUAUACCAAGAGAAGGAGGACCCCCUUUCCAACACUGAGGCCUAGAAUAUCAAAUCCUUUUCUAUGGACGUCAUCAAGCCUUAGGAGCUGCAUUUGGGUCAGGGUUGGGAACAGAAGGUAAAUACACUCCUCUGCAGUGUGCUUGCUGGCCUCUUCUGCCUCUGAGCCAAUGUUUGUAUUUGGGUGUGUGUCCAUAUGUGGGAGCCCUGGUGGCACAGUGGUUAAGAGCUACUGCUAACCGAAAGAUUGGCAGUUCAAAUCCAUCAGCUUCUCCUUGGAAACCCUAUAGGGUAGUUCUGUCUUAUAGGGU